This 450-nucleotide ribosomal RNA is filed under the name uncultured bacterium. Its description in RNAcentral is "partial 16S ribosomal RNA". It matches the Rfam family "Bacterial small subunit ribosomal RNA", at positions 354 to 796 of the family's 1533-position model. The record is from RNAcentral.
GUGGGGAAUUUUGGACAAUGGGCGAAAGCCUGAUCCAGCAAUGCCGCGUGCAGGAUGAAGGCCCUCGGGUUGUAAACUGCUUUUGUACGGAACGAAAAGCCUGGGGCUAAUAUCCCCGGGUCAUGACGGUACCGUAAGAAUAAGCACCGGCUAACUACGUGCCAGCAGCCGCGGUAAUACGUAGGGUGCAAGCGUUAAUCGGAAUUACUGGGCGUAAAGCGUGCGCAGGCGGUUUUGUAAGACAGUGAUGAAAUCCCCGGGCUCAACCUGGGAACUGCCAUUGUGACUGAAAGGCUAGAGUGCGGCAGAGGGGGAUGGAAUUCCGCGUGUAGCAGUGAAAUGCGUAGAUAUGCGGAGGAACACCGAUGGCGAAGGCAAUCCCCUGGGCCUGCACUGACGCUCAUGCACGAAAGCGUGGGGAGCAAACAGGAUUAGAUACCCCAGUAGUCC